Molecule: ribosomal RNA, 800 nt
Filed under: uncultured Spirochaetales bacterium
Lineage: Bacteria; Pseudomonadati; Spirochaetota; Spirochaetia; Spirochaetales
Description: bacterial SSU rRNA
Rfam family: Bacterial small subunit ribosomal RNA
Source: RNAcentral
AAAUCCUGGGCAACUGGGAAAGUAAAGUGGCGCACGGGUGAGUAACGCGUGGGUAACCUACCCUUGGAUUUGGGAUAACUCCGCGAAAGCGGGGUUAAUACCGAAUGAUAUUCCGAUUUCUACGGGGAUCGGAAUCAAAGGUGGCCUCUGCAUGCAAGCUAUCGUCUAAGGAUGGGCCCGCGUACCAUUAGCUAGUUGGUAGGGUAAUGGCCUACCAAGGCUCCGAUGGUUAGCUGGUCUCAGAGGAUGGCCAGCCACACUGGAACUGAGACACGGUCCAGACUCCUACGGGAGGCAGCAGUGGGGAAUCUUGCGCAAUGGGGGAAACCUUGACGCAGCAACGCCGCGUGGGUGAUGAAGGCCUUCGGGUCGUAAAGCCCUGUCAGGUGGGAAGAAACAUAUCGGCGCUAAUAUCGCCGAUGUUUGACGGUACCGCCGGAGGAAGCACCGGCUAACUCCGUGCCAGCAGCCGCGGUAAUACGGAGGGUGCAAGCGUAGUUCGGAAUUACUGGGCGUAAAGCGCGUGUAGGCGGUCGGGCAGUCAGAUGUGAAAGCCUUCCGCUUAACGGAAGAAGUGCAUUUGAAACUACCCGGCUGGAGUACGGGAGAGGAGAGUGGAAUUCCCGGUGUAGAGGUGAAAUUCGUAGAUCUCGGGAGGAACACCAGUGGCGAAGGCGGCUCUCUGGUCCGAUACUGACGCUGAGACGCGAAAGCGUGGGGAGCAAACAGGAUUAGAUACCCUGGUAGUCCACGCCGUAAACGAUGGGCGCUAGGUGUAGGAGGUAUAGACCCCUUCUGUG